Molecule: small nuclear RNA, 145 nt
Organism: Saimiri boliviensis boliviensis (Bolivian squirrel monkey)
Lineage: Eukaryota; Metazoa; Chordata; Mammalia; Primates; Cebidae
Product: U4 spliceosomal RNA
Source: RefSeq, a predicted model, not a curated record
AGCUUUGCGCAGUGGCAGUAUUGUAUGUAGCCAAUGAGGUUUAUCCGAGGCAUGAUUAUUGCUAAUUGAAAACUUUUCCCUACACCCUGCCGUGAUGACUUGCAGUAUAGUCGGCACUGGCAAACUUUGACAGUCUCUAUGGAGA